UCAUCAACGCACCCGCCAGUGUUCGAUA
This 28-nucleotide small RNA is filed under the name Bombyx mori (domestic silkworm). RNAcentral's name for it is "ovarian small RNA-26014". Lineage: Eukaryota; Metazoa; Arthropoda; Insecta; Lepidoptera; Bombycidae. The record is from RNAcentral.